UGGGGAAUUUUGGACAAUGGGCGCAAGCCUGAUCCAGCCAUGCCGCGUGCGGGAAGAAGGCCUUCGGGUUGUAACCGCUUUUGNCAGGGAAGAAAUCUUCUGAGUUAAUACCUCGGGAGGAUGACGGUACCUGAAGAAUAAGCACCGGCUAACUACGUGCCAGCAGCCGCGGUAAUACGUAGGGUGCAAGCGUUAAUCGGAAUUACUGGGCGUAAAGCGUGCGCAGGCGGUUUUGUAAGACAGAGGUGAAAUCCCCGGGCUCAACCUGGGAACUGCCUUUGUGACUGCAAGGCUUGAGUGCGGCAGAGGGGGAUGGAAUUCCGCGUGUAGCAGUGAAAUGCGUAGAUAUGCGGAGGAACACCGAUGGCGAAGGAAUCCCCUGGGCCUGCACUGACGCUCAUGCACGAAAGCGUGGGGAGCAAACAGGAUUAGAAUAGCCCUGGUAGUCCACGCCCCUAAAACCGAUGCCAACUGGUUGUUGGGAAGGUUCCUUCUCAGUAACGUAGCUAACGCGUGAAGUUGACCGCCUGGGGAGUACGGCCGCAAGGUUGAAA
RNAcentral lists this ribosomal RNA (554 nucleotides) under uncultured bacterium. RNAcentral's name for it is "partial 16S ribosomal RNA". It matches the Rfam family "Bacterial small subunit ribosomal RNA", at positions 355 to 899 of the family's 1533-position model. The record is from RNAcentral.